UCGCCAGUUGAAGUGGUUAAAAACAUUUCUUAGCGCAAUAGCGCAAAAGUCUUAGUGUUGUUGAGGUUAGUGACGACUGAGUCGGCCAUGUCAGGUAUGGGCAGCCCUGGAAGUAAUUCUCUGUCAGCCUCCGGAAGCUGUGCCUGAGAGCUUUAAGGGCGGUGACCCCGUAGCAACAGAGCCCCAAUAGGGAACAGCCACAAAGCCCUUCGCUGGGCCCGCCCACCGGCAGCCUAGCCUGGCAGUGCCCGGCCGAGGGUGAGCCUUGCCGCUUUGGUGACAGCAGGAACAUUGAGGCACUUGAGAGAAAAAUUUCAAGGGAAGAUUUGAAUGUGGCUACUAGUGAGUGUGAGCCAGUAUCAGAAGAUGUAGAGCUCCCCAGAUGAAUGUGAUCAGAUCCAGCUAAGAUUCCUGUGCUCCUGAAGGCUGGGAGGUAAAGAAACAUCAGGAAGAGACGCCCUUCAUCUGGUCCAGCCCUAAGCCACAGGCUUCUCAACUUUUCCUUUCAAAAAGAGGGAGCAUGUUUAAAGUACACCGUACCCAGACAGUGAAUCAGAAGCUCUUACUAAAAAUCAGCCUUUGUGAGGACUGGGGAGGGAGGACAGGGGAAGGAUAAAGAAUUAGGACGUUAAAAAAAAAAAAAAUUAAGACAUGUUCUGUGCAUGGACCAGCUCCCCACCAUGAAUGUGAUCAUUAUGUACCUCAAACAAGUACUAAUAAAAGUAUUUUUAAAAUUGGCAUUUGAAACAA
This is a long non-coding RNA of Chinchilla lanigera (long-tailed chinchilla), 750 nucleotides long. RefSeq lists it as uncharacterized. The record is from RefSeq and is a predicted model, not a curated record. NCBI's taxonomy places the organism in Eukaryota, Metazoa, Chordata, Mammalia, Rodentia, Chinchillidae. The transcript has 2 exons.